UGGUUUAUGGACUCAGUUCGUAUAAUAUCAAAUGUAUCUGAAUGAAAACGCUUCAGUUCAGUACGUGCUCUCUUGACGUCCAAACGUGUGAGUGUGUGUCCGGUUGUGGAUCGAUCGAUUGGUUGUAUUCAACUUCUGAAGUUCUGAGUAUUUCAAUGGGGUGACUUGUGAAAUUUAGUUUUACUCCUGAACCCGGGACAAAAAAGGGAAUACAAUUCAAUACAAUAAAUUCCGUUCCUUUUUUUUAUCAAAAAGACAAUAA
This is a long non-coding RNA of Musca domestica (house fly), 262 nucleotides long. RefSeq lists it as uncharacterized. The record is from RefSeq and is a predicted model, not a curated record. NCBI's taxonomy places the organism in Eukaryota, Metazoa, Arthropoda, Insecta, Diptera, Muscidae. The transcript is spliced from 3 exons.